UACGUAGGGUGCAAGAGUUGUCCGGAAUUAUUGGGCGUAAAGAGCUCGUAGGUGGCCUGUCGCGUCGGCUGUGAAAACUCGGGGCUCAACUCCGAGCUUGCAGUCGAUACGGGCAGGCUAGAGUUCGGCAGGGGAGACUGGAAUUCCUGGUGUAGCGGUGAAAUGCGCAGAUAUCAGGAGGAACACCGGUGGCGAAGGCGGGUCUCUGGGCCGAUACUGACACUGAGGAGCGAAAGCGUGGGGAGCGAACAGG
This 253-nucleotide ribosomal RNA is filed under the name uncultured bacterium. RNAcentral describes it as "partial 16S ribosomal RNA". It matches the Rfam family "Bacterial small subunit ribosomal RNA", at positions 524 to 776 of the family's 1533-position model. The record is from RNAcentral.